GGAAGUAAAAGUCGUAACAAGGUUUCCGUAGGUGAACCUGCGGAAGGAUCAUUACUGAUUUAGCGAACCGAGCGUUAGCGAGGUUUUGCGAUCACUUAUAUUUAAAACCCCACUCUUUAAUGUAUAAAAUUUGUAUUAAUGAUAAAUUAAAAGAUCACUUUCAACAACGGAUCUCUUGGCUCUCGCAUCGAUGAAGAACGUAGCGAAGUGCGAUAAGUAAUGUGAAUUGCAGUAUUCCGUGAAUCAUCGAAUCUUUGAACGCAUAUUGCACUUUCUGGUAUUCCGGAAGGUAUGCCUGUUUGAGGGUCAGUUAAAUAAAAAUCGGUGUUGUUGCUGCCUUUCGUGGUGACGCGUCGGAAUUGAGUUGUCUUACCUUCGGUUAAGUGACUUAAAAUUUUGUAUGAUUUUUGAACGUAUUUAAAUUUAUUUGUACGUUUGAGAUAUCGAAUAUUUAUUAGGUUCGGUCAUUCUAACGACUCGCGCCUAUAAUUUUCCAUUAAAUGACCUCAAAUCAGGUAAGAAUACCCGCCGAACUUAAGCAUAUCAAUAAGCGGAGGA
Molecule: ribosomal RNA, 558 nt
Filed under: uncultured Glomus
Lineage: Eukaryota; Fungi; Glomeromycota; Glomeromycetes; Glomerales; Glomeraceae
Description: eukaryotic LSU rRNA
Rfam family: 5.8S ribosomal RNA (bases 156-309)
Source: RNAcentral